AUUCCAGCUCCAAUAGCGUAUAUUAAAGUUGUUGUGGUUAAAAAGCUCGUAGUUGGAUCUCGGCGGUCUGAGGGCGGUUCGCUUCAGAGCGCUACUGCCCUAUAGACCGUAGUUUUGCCAGAGGUCUCAGGGUGCUCUUAACCGAGUGUCUUGCGAUGCUGGCAGGUUUACUUUGAAAAAAUUAGAGUGCUCAAAGCAGGCUUUUACGCCUGAAUAUUCGUGCAUGGAAUAAUAGAAUAGGAAGUCGUUUCUAUUUUGUUGGUUUUCGGAAAUCGACUCAAUGAUUAAUAGGGACUGUCGGGGGCAUUCGUAUUUCAUUGUCAGAGGUGAAAUUCUUGGAUUUAUGAAAGACGGACCACUGCGAAAGCAUUUGCCAAGGAUGUUUUCAUCG
RNAcentral lists this ribosomal RNA (391 nucleotides) under Pseudocalanus sp. RNAcentral describes it as "partial small subunit ribosomal RNA". It matches the Rfam family "Eukaryotic small subunit ribosomal RNA", at positions 582 to 975 of the family's 1831-position model. Lineage: Eukaryota; Metazoa; Arthropoda; Copepoda; Calanoida; Clausocalanidae. The record is from RNAcentral.